GGGGAAUUUUGGACAAUGGGGGCAACCCUGAUCCAGCCAUGCCGCGUGAGUGAAGAAGGCCUUCGGGUUGUAAAGCUCUUUCAGGUGGAAAGAAAUCUCCCGGGUGAAUACCCCGGGAGGAUGACGGUACCAUCAGAAGAAGCACCGGCUAACUACGUGCCAGCAGCCGCGGUAAUACGUAGGGUGCGAGCGUUAAUCGGAAUUACUGGGCGUAAAGCGUGCGCAGGCGGUUGUGUAAGACAGAUGUGAAAUCCCCGGGCUCAACCUGGGAACUGCGUUUGUGACUGCACAACUAGAGUACGGCAGAGGGAGGUGGAAUUCCGCGUGUAGCAGUGAAAUGCGUAGAGAUGCGGAGGAACACCGAUGGCGAAGGCAGCCUCCUGGGCCAGUACUGACGCUCAUGCACGAAAGCGUGGGGAGCAAAC
This 425-nucleotide ribosomal RNA is filed under the name uncultured bacterium. Its description in RNAcentral is "bacterial SSU rRNA". It matches the Rfam family "Bacterial small subunit ribosomal RNA", at positions 356 to 773 of the family's 1533-position model. The record is from RNAcentral.